CAAGUCGAACGGUAACAGGAAGCAGCUUGCUGCUUCGCUGACGAGUGGCGGACGGGUGAGUAAUGUCUGGGAAACUGCCUGAUGGAGGGGGAUAACUACUGGAAACGGUAGCUAAUACCGCAUAACGUCGCAAGACCAAAGAGGGGGACCUUCGGGCCUCUUGCCAUCGGAUGUGCCCAGAUGGGAUUAGCUAGUAGGUGGGGUAACGGCUCACCUAGGCGACGAUCCCUAGCUGGUCUGAGAGGAUGACCAGCCACACUGGAACUGAGACACGGUCCAGACUCCUACGGGAGGCAGCAGUGGGGAAUAUUGCACAAUGGGCGCAAGCCUGAUGCAGCCAUGCCGCGUGUAUGAAGAAGGCCUUCGGGUUGUAAAGUACUUUCAGCGGGGAGGAAGGUGUUGAGGUUAAUAACCUCAGCAAUUGACGUUACCCGCAGAAGAAGCACCGGCUAACUCCGUGCCAGCAGCCGCGGUAAUACGGAGGGUGCAAGCGUUAAUCGGAAUUACUGGGCGUAAAGCGCACGCAGGCGGUCUGUCAAGUCGGAUGUGAAAUCCCCGGGCUCAACCUGGGAACUGCAAUCGAAACUGGCAGGCUAGAGUCUUGUAGAGGGGGGUAGAAUUCCAGGUGUAGCGGUGAAAUGCGUAGAGAUCUGGAGGAAUACCGGUGGCGA
Molecule: ribosomal RNA, 671 nt
Filed under: uncultured Enterobacter sp.
Lineage: Bacteria; Pseudomonadati; Pseudomonadota; Gammaproteobacteria; Enterobacterales; Enterobacteriaceae
Description: bacterial SSU rRNA
Rfam family: Bacterial small subunit ribosomal RNA
Source: RNAcentral